AGCCAGACUCCUACGGGAGGCAGCAGUGGGGAAUAUUGCACAAUGGGGGAAACCCUGAUGCAGCGACGCCGCGUGAGCGAUGAAGUAUUUCGGUAUGUAAAGCUCUAUCAGCAGGGAAGAAAAUGACGGUACCUGACUAAGAAGCCCCGGCUAACUACGUGCCAGCAGCCGCGGUAAUACGUAGGGGGCAAGCGUUAUCCGGAUUUACUGGGUGUAAAGGGAGCGUAGACGGCGGUGCAAGCCAGAUGUGAAAGCCCGGGGCUCAACUGUGGGAGUGCAUUGGAAACUGUAGAGCUAGAGUAUCGGAGAGGCAAGUGGAAUUCCUAGUGCAGCGGUGAAAUGCGUAGAUAUUAGGAGGAACACCAGUGGCGAAGGCGGCUUGCUGGACGAAAACUGACGUUGAGGCUCGAAAGCGUGGGGAGCAAACAGGAUUAGAUACCCGAGUAAA
RNAcentral lists this ribosomal RNA (448 nucleotides) under uncultured bacterium. RNAcentral's name for it is "partial 16S ribosomal RNA". It matches the Rfam family "Bacterial small subunit ribosomal RNA", at positions 329 to 794 of the family's 1533-position model. The record is from RNAcentral.